AACAGACUCUAAACUCUAGUAGGUGCCGAAAGAAAACUCUCCGUUGAGUUGGCUCCUUGGUUGAUGUUUUCUGCCACUUAGAAGCAAGUGUUUGGACAUACGGAUUUACAAGGUGACAAGGCUCGUGCCAAGCCUGGGGCCCCAAAUAUUGAGCAAGGCCAUAUUGCUUCAUAUGGUUGUUCUAUGCAUUUCAGGAACUUCUGGGUGUUGUCUGAGGGCUGAAAUGAUGACUUGCCAGCCUCAUGUUCUCUUAGUGGUCACUAUCAGCAAACCCCACCUUUGAGCAUGUCAGGUGCAUGGUCCAGGGCUCAUGUUAAGUGUUAUGACAACUGGACGGCUGGAUGUGGUCUUACCCUGAAAAUGUCUAUGGGUCUUCCUUGGAGUUUCCAGGCAUCCCCAGAGAAACCUUUCUCCCCUAUGCUUCCUUGGAUCUGUGGAAUUGUUUCCAUUUAUGCUUUGUCCCUUGGUCUGUCCCACGGUUGUAUAUAGCCCUGGCUACCUAUAAUUAUAUCUUCUACUGUGGAGCUUUGCCCUAUUCUGUCUUCACGGUUUCUUCGGGAAUUCCUUGAGCACAGAAUAUAGCUCUUCCCUUUUGCCAUCACAGAUGGACCAUAAGGCCGGCAUUGGCAGUCUACAAAAAGGAUUUCAGCCAUGGAUGAUCAGUAUUUAAAGAACGACAAACAGCUAACUAAUGGGAAGGAAUGAACUCUACGCUAAAAUUAUCCCCAGAUACCAGAGAGAUGAGGUUGAGGACAUAUAUUUUAAUUGAGGUUGAGGACAUAUAUUUUAAUUGAAAGAGGGUAAUGACGACAGGGAAGGAUAUGGCUACUUCCCACUUCUAUCAAGAACCUGAAUUUAUGAAAAAAGGCAAAUUAUAAAAGAAAUCAGUUUUUGGAAGUGUUCCUUUACAGUCAGAAGGAACUUUAAAAAUUACCUUGAGCAGCUUCCUGACCCCGUGGAUAAAGACCCAAGGCCUAGAGCAAUGGAAUAACUUGUUCAAGGUUCCUCUGGCCAGUGGCUGGAACUUCUCUUGUUGGGUAUUUAACAUGUAUCAGAUAUUAUUCUAGAUCCCACAUAAGCAGCCACAAAUGAAGUCAAGGUCAUUGCCCUCUUGGAGUUUAAACAUCAGUGGGGGAGGCAGAUAAUAACCGAUGAACAAGAACAUUUGAAACAGUGAUGAUACUUUGGACAGUAUCAAAGGAGGGAUGUGACAGGGAGAUGGAAGAGGUUCUGAAGACAGGACAUGGGUGCCAAGGCCUCAGGGUAAGAAGUACCAGCCUGUAACGUGGUGUGAGUGAGUGCAUGGGGGCACCACAGCCCUGCCAGUGCCUCCCAAGAAAGCAGUUCAUCAUUUCCAGGGAGGAUUUGUCAUCUCCUUACAUGCUUUUCGGAAAGGACACUCAAGCAGCACUGUGACGUGGCCCAUGUAGAAAGAAACUGAGACCUCCUGCCAGUACCUGCACCCACAUUGCCAACCAUGCAAGUGAAUUAUCUCAAAGCAGAUGAUGGAAGUCUUGACUGACAUUUAACUGCAGCUCAUCAGAGACCCCAAUCCAGAACUGCCUGCACUACUGCUGAACUCCUGAUUCACAAGAACUGUGAGAGAAAAUACAUAUUAUUGUUUUAAGCCACGAAGUUUUAUAGUAAUUUGUUAUGCAACUCUAAAGUAAUAAGGAAUAUAGGUCUCUGCUCUAGUUCUUGCCAAUAUUUUGUCUUUGACCUGGUUCCUGACAGAGAGCCCUAAAUUGUUGAUAAUUUCCUGAGUGAUAGGAGCAUUUUUGUUAUAAUGAGAUGACUCCUGGUGGGCUUCUGCAUGGGGGCUGGUCACCAGAGAGACUAAGCCAUGAUCAAAAACUUUGAACUUUCAGCCCCACUCCUCAUUCUCCAGAGAGGCAAGAGAGCUAAAAAUGAAGUUAAUAAUUGAUCAUGCCUAUGUGAUGAAGCCUCUGUAAAAUUCCUAAAGUAUGGGAUGUGGAGAGCUUUUGGAGUUGUUGAACACAUCCAUGUGCCAGGAGGGUGGGGCACCCCAGCUCCAUAGAAGGCAACAGAAGCUCCUGUGCUCAGGAUCUUUCCAGACUUUGUCCCAUGUACUUCUUCAUCAGACUGAUAGUUUGUAUCUUUUAAAAUAUCCUAGAGUUCCCGUCAUGGCUUAGUGGUUAAUGAAUCUGACUAGUAUCCAUGAGGAUGCAGGUUUGAUGCCUGGCCUCGCUCAAUGGGUUAAAGAUCUGAUGUUGCCAUGAGCUGUGGUGUACGUCACAGGCAUGGCUCGGAUCCUGAGUUGCUGUGGCUGUGGUGUAGGCUGGCAGCUACAACUCUGGUUCAACCCCUCGCCUGGCAACCUUCAUAUGCUGUGGGGUGUGGCUCUAAAAAGACAAAAAAUGAUAUAUGUAUAUGUGUAUAUAUAUAUAUAUACAUAUAUAUCCUUUAUAAUAAAUCAGCAACACUAAAUAAUUUUCCUGCAUGCUGUGAGCUGCUCCAUUAAAUUUUUGAGCCAGAGGAUGUGGUUGUGGGAAGCUCUGAUUUAUAGCUGAGGUGGACAGAAAUUGUGAGUUCCCUGGGGACCCACAACUGGUGACUGGCAUAUAAGGCGGCGGGGGGCGGAUCUUGUGAGACUGGGCGCUUCACCUGUGGGGACUGGGCCAAUCUAGGCAGUUAGUACCAGGACUGCCUGGUAUGGAUAAGCCACACAUCUGGGGUCAGAAGUGUAAACACAGGAGUGUUGCCUAUUCAGCAACAAUAUGUAACAUACAUUCUUAAUAGAGGCAGUGGUUCUAAUACUUAUGCACUUUUGAUGUAGGAAGAAUGCCUCAGGAUACAUAGUAUUGGAUGACUUUGUUUCUUAUCGUCUACCAUGUUUUAAUAAAACAUCAUGGAGAAAUACAGAAAACUAUUACUCUGAGUUUCUAAUGGACUAAUUGUUUAAAGUGUAUUCUAUCCAAUUCAGAGACAAUAAAGCAUCAGCGUGAAAAGCAUGGCCACUGGAACCAUGAAAACUAGCUUCUACUUUUUUUCUGGCUAUGUGGCCUUUGGCAUGUUAUUCAUCCAAGUCCCAGGUUUUUCACCUGUAAAAAUAUGCAGAACAAUCAAAAGUAUUGCACAGAGCUCUGACGGAAAGAAAUAUAAUAAUGCAUGUUCUUUGUACACUGCAUAGCUUGUAGUGAAUACUCAAUAAUGUCAGCUAUUACUGAGCUGCCAUCCAUAUUAAAAAUAUGUUGGUUCUGAUCACAUUUAAAAUGGAAAUUUGGUGAAUAAAGGAUAAACGC
RNAcentral lists this long non-coding RNA (3263 nucleotides) under Sus scrofa (pig). Its description in RNAcentral is "lncRNA (ENSSSCG00065000709.1)". The record is from RNAcentral. Lineage: Eukaryota; Metazoa; Chordata; Mammalia; Artiodactyla; Suidae.